RNAcentral lists this long non-coding RNA (698 nucleotides) under Sorghum bicolor (sorghum). Its description in RNAcentral is "long non-coding RNA (SBIC_LNC002741)". The record is from RNAcentral. Lineage: Eukaryota; Viridiplantae; Streptophyta; Magnoliopsida; Poales; Poaceae.
AUGCUUGCUAGACUUUGAGUCACACAUUUACUUUUUACUACUUAUGAGCAUUGAGAAGAAAUCCGGGAGAGAAUAGCCAAAAACAUUUUUGUUUUUCCCUGUGAAAUAAAUGCUCGAGUUAUCUUGGUUACUACCACUUGCUAUAUUAUUUCAGGAGAUGAGUGCUCUAAAAAAAAGAAAGAGAGAAAGAAUACUAGGAAAUCAAAAGAGGCAAGUGCCCGAAACCUCGAAGAAAAGAAAAAGUGAGACGAGAGGUAAAAAUGGACAAGCGUCCGAUAGUAGAAUUAGGGGUACAUGAUACCCACCUGAGAGAAAAGAAAAAGAAAAUAUAGAGCAUCUCAUUCUUCUCAAAAAGUUUCAAAAGAGCAAGAAAGGUAUGUAUCCCCUUAAAAGACCAAAAGUAGAAUUAGAUUUUCACCAUUGUUAUCACCAUCAUCACCAUACACCAUUCACUCGCCACACAUGCACAUCUUGAUUUGACUUAUUGACUUGUUCUUCUGGAUCCAUGGUUAGACUAUGUAAUAAAUGUCUUGUAAGUAUGUAUUAUCUGUCUCCCACCUAUGAGCUCCAGAUAUCAAAACCUUAUUAGAGUAGGGUGAGAGAGAAGGCAAUAUCACUAUGCCUCAUAUCAAAAACACCACAUACUUUGAGAGAAGGAAUAUACCAUUACUGCCUUGGAAAGGAUCCAGAAAUACCAC